Molecule: ribosomal RNA, 274 nt
Filed under: uncultured bacterium
Lineage: Bacteria
Description: partial 16S ribosomal RNA
Rfam family: Bacterial small subunit ribosomal RNA
Source: RNAcentral
AUACGGAGGGGGCAAGCGUUAUUCGGAAUUAUAGGGCGUAAAGGGCUCGUAGGCGGCCUAGCAAGUCAGUGGUGAAAUCCCUCGGCUCAACCGAGGAACUGCCUCUGAAACGGCAAGGCUAGAGGCCGGGAGAGGGUGGUGGAAUUCCCAGUGUAGCGGUGAAAUGCGUAGAUAUUGGGAGGAACACCAGUGGCGAAGGCGGCCACCUGGACCGGUUCUGACGCUGAGGAGCGAAAGCGUGGGGAGCAAACAGGAUUAGAAACCCUAGUAGUCC